AUACGGAUGCAUCCUCCCUGUUACGGAAGAGGACGGGGGACCCCUGCACCAGCUGAAACAGGCCAUGGCCUCCAUCCUGGGCACCUGGAUGUUCCAGUACCCAGACGGUUUCCACCAGCCUCCAGAAUUCCCAUGCCUUAAGACCAUUGUUGCUGAUGUAGAGCUCAGCAUGCCUGGCUCAGACCUGGAGCGGCAGGCCCACCUCUUCCUGGCACAGCUGGAGCAACUGGAACUCCCAGAGGCAGACAGUGAUGCUACAGCACCAGCUCCAGAACCCACUGGGGAAACCCCUCUGGGUGGAGAGCCAGCUCCAGCUCUCCUGCCUGCGACAGCACCAGAGCCAGAGCCAGAGCCAGAGCCAGAGCAGAGGG
This is a non-coding RNA of Vicugna pacos (alpaca), 371 nucleotides long. The record is from RefSeq and is a predicted model, not a curated record. Lineage: Eukaryota; Metazoa; Chordata; Mammalia; Artiodactyla; Camelidae.